AUACGUAGGGGGCAAGCGUUGUCCGGAAUUACUGGGCGUAAAGCGCGCGCAGGCGGAUUAUUAAGUCAGGUGUGAAACCUCUGGGCUCAACCCAGAGCAUGCAUCUGAUACUGGUAAUCUUGAGUGUAGAAGAGGAGAGUGGAAUUCCUAGUGUAGCGGUGAAAUGCGUAGAUAUUAGGAGGAACACCAGUGGCGAAGGCGACUCUCUGGUCUAUAACUGACGCUGAGGCGCGAAAGCGUGGGGAGCAAACAGGAUUAGAUACCCUGGUAGUCCACGCCGUAAACGAUGGGUACUAGGUGUUGGGGGUUUCGAUGCCCUCAGUGCCGGAGUUAACACAUUAAGUACCCCGCCUGGGGAGUACGUUCGCAAGAAUGAA
RNAcentral lists this ribosomal RNA (377 nucleotides) under uncultured bacterium. Its description in RNAcentral is "bacterial SSU rRNA". It matches the Rfam family "Bacterial small subunit ribosomal RNA", at positions 523 to 898 of the family's 1533-position model. The record is from RNAcentral.